GACAGAGGGUGCAAACGUUGCUCGGAAUCACUGGGCGUAAAGGGCGCGUAGGCGGGAAUGUAAGUCGGGCGUGAAAUCCCCAGGCUCAACCUGGGAACUGCACUCGAAACUGCGUUUCUUGAGUAUCGGAGAGGAAAGCGGAAUUCCUGGUGUAGAGGUGAAAUUCGUAGAUAUCAGGAGGAACACCAGUGGCGAAGGCGGCUUUCUGGACGGUAACUGACGCUGAGGCGCGAAAGCUAGGGGAGCAAACAGG
RNAcentral lists this ribosomal RNA (253 nucleotides) under uncultured bacterium. RNAcentral describes it as "partial 16S ribosomal RNA". It matches the Rfam family "Bacterial small subunit ribosomal RNA", at positions 524 to 776 of the family's 1533-position model. The record is from RNAcentral.